GACGAACGCUGGCGGCGUGCCUAGUACAUGCAAGUCGAGCGCUGAAGGGUGGUACUUGUACCAACUGGAUUAGCAGCGGACGGGUGAGUAACGCGUGGGGAAUCUGCCUUUGAGCGGGGGACAACAUCUGGAAACGAAUGCUAAUACCGCAUAAAAACUUUAAACACAAGUUUUAAGUGUGAAAGAUGCAAUUGCAUCACCCAAAGAUGAUCCCGCGUUGUAUUAGCUAGUUGGUGAGGGUAAGGCCCACCAAGGCGAUGAUACAUAGCCGACCUGGGAGGGUGAUCGGCCACAUUUGGACCUGGAAACGGGCCCAAACUCCUCGGGAGGGCGGAGUAGGGGAUCUUCGGCAAUGGACGGAAGUCUGAACGAGCCAAGCCGCGUGAGUGGAGGAGGUUUUCGGAUCGUUAAACUCCGGUUAUAGGGAAGAAAGAUGGGGGGAGUGGAAAGCUCAUAAAGUGACGGUACCUACCCAGAAAGCGACGGCUAACUACGUG
RNAcentral lists this ribosomal RNA (497 nucleotides) under uncultured bacterium. Its description in RNAcentral is "partial 16S ribosomal RNA". It matches the Rfam family "Bacterial small subunit ribosomal RNA", at positions 28 to 507 of the family's 1533-position model. The record is from RNAcentral.